This 253-nucleotide ribosomal RNA is filed under the name uncultured bacterium. RNAcentral describes it as "partial 16S ribosomal RNA". It matches the Rfam family "Bacterial small subunit ribosomal RNA", at positions 524 to 776 of the family's 1533-position model. The record is from RNAcentral.
UACGUAGGGUGCAAGCGUUAUCCGGAAUUAUUGGGCGUAAAGAGCUCGUAGGCGGUUUGUCGCGUCUGCUGUGAAAACUGGAGGCUCAACCUCCAGCCUGCAGUGGGUACGGGCAAACUAGAGUGCGGUAGGGGAGAUUAGAAUUCCUGGUGUAGCGGUGGAAUGCGCAGAUAUCAGGAGGAACACCGAUGGCGAAGGCAGAUCUCUGGGCCGUAACUGACGCUGAGGAGCGAAAGCAUGGGGAGCGAACAGG